This 1002-nucleotide ribosomal RNA is filed under the name Beauveria pseudobassiana. Its description in RNAcentral is "SSU rRNA". It matches the Rfam family "Eukaryotic small subunit ribosomal RNA", at positions 41 to 1054 of the family's 1831-position model. The record is from RNAcentral. Lineage: Eukaryota; Fungi; Ascomycota; Sordariomycetes; Hypocreales; Cordycipitaceae.
AGAUUAAGCCAUGCAUGUCUAAGUAUAAGCAAUUAUACAGCGAAACUGCGAAUGGCUCAUUAUAUAAGUUAUCGUUUAUUUGAUAGUACCUUACUACUUGGAUAACCGUGGUAAUUCUAGAGCUAAUACAUGCUGAAAAUCCCGACUUCGGAAGGGAUGUAUUUAUUAGAUUAAAAACCAAUGCCCUCUGGGCUCCUUGGUGAUUCAUAAUAACUUUUCGAAUCGCACGGCCUUGCGCCGGCGAUGGUUCAUUCAAAUUUCUUCCCUAUCAACUUUCGAUGUUUGGGUAUUGGCCAAACAUGGUCGCAACGGGUAACGGAGGGUUAGGGCUCGACCCCGGAGAAGGAGCCUGAGAAACGGCUACUACAUCCAAGGAAGGCAGCAGGCGCGCAAAUUACCCAAUCCCGAUUCGGGGAGGUAGUGACAAUAAAUACUGAUACAGGGCUCUUUUGGGUCUUGUAAUUGGAAUGAGUACAAUUUAAAUCUCUUAACGAGGAACAAUUGGAGGGCAAGUCUGGUGCCAGCAGCCGCGGUAAUUCCAGCUCCAAUAGCGUAUAUUAAAGUUGUUGUGGUUAAAAAGCUCGUAGUUGAACCUUGGGCCUGGCUGGCCGGUCCGCCUCACCGCGUGUACUGGUCCGGCCGGGCCUUUCCCUCUGUGGAACCUCAUGCCCUUCACUGGGUGUGGCGGGGAAACAGGACUUUUACUUUGAAAAAAUUAGAGUGCUCCAGGCAGGCCUAUGCUCGAAUACAUUAGCAUGGAAUAAUAAAAUAGGACGUGUGGUUCUAUUUUGUUGGUUUCUAGGACCGCCGUAAUGAUUAAUAGGGACAGUCGGGGGCAUCAGUAUUCAAUUGUCAGAGGUGAAAUUCUUGGAUUUAUUGAAGACUAACUACUGCGAAAGCAUUUGCCAAGGAUGUUUUCAUUAAUCAGGAACGAAAGUUAGGGGAUCGAAGACGAUCAGAUACCGUCGUAGUCUUAACCAUAAACUAUGCCGACUAGGGAUC